Long non-coding RNA from Papilio polytes (common Mormon), 443 nucleotides. RefSeq lists it as uncharacterized. NCBI's taxonomy places the organism in Eukaryota, Metazoa, Arthropoda, Insecta, Lepidoptera, Papilionidae. The transcript is spliced from 2 exons. The record is from RefSeq and is a predicted model, not a curated record.
AAAAUAGGCCUCCGGCACCACACUCAUCAGGCGAAGGUAACGUAUCGUUUGAUUCUUUUGCAGUUUCCGUUAUGUUUAAAUUCGCUACUUUUAUAAUUUCUGGCUCUAUUAAAUCUGGGGCUUCGAUGAUUUGAUUUUUUAUCGGUAAUGCUGUUGUAAUUGUUAUUAAUGUUAAAUAACAUAUUGUUCGUAUCACACUCAUUUUCACAACUUUCAUUUUUACUAAGUAAUAUAUUUCAUCGGCACAAAAUUUGAUAACACCGAAGCAGACUUGAUUACUUAGAUACUUGAUGUCCACUACAUCAUGAUUGAUAAAAAACUAAGAGUGGGAAAGUUCCGCAAUAAACUUAUAUUUGGAGGGCGAGAGUUUUAGUUUAGAUAAUACAAGAUUGUGUACACUUCGUGCCAAAUAAAAUUACACAACAUGUUACGAUAAAAACUGA